This 452-nucleotide ribosomal RNA is filed under the name uncultured bacterium. Its description in RNAcentral is "bacterial SSU rRNA". It matches the Rfam family "Bacterial small subunit ribosomal RNA", at positions 340 to 786 of the family's 1533-position model. The record is from RNAcentral.
UACGGGAGGAGCAGUGGGGAAUAUUGCACAAUGGGCGCAAGCCUGAUGCAGCCAUGCCGCGUGUAUGAAGAAGGCCUUCGGGUUGUAAAGUACUUUCAGUCGUGAGGAAGGUGUUAAGGUUAAUAACCUUAGCAAUUGACGUUAGCGACAGAAGAAGCACCGGCUAACUCCGUGCCAGCAGCCGCGGUAAUACGGAGGGUGCGAGCGUUAAUCGGAAUUACUGGGCGUAAAGGGCACGCAGGCGGUUAAUUAAGUUGGAUGUGAAAUCCCCGGGCUUAACCUGGGAAUGGCAUUCAAGACUGGUUAGCUAGAGUCUUGUAGAGGGGGUAGAAUUCCAUGUGUAGCGGUGAAAUGCGUAGAGAUGUGGAGGAAUACCGGUGGCGAAGGCGGCCCCUGGACAAAGACUGACGCUCAUGUGCGAAAGCGUGGGGAGCAAACAGGGAUUAGAUACC